RNAcentral lists this non-coding RNA (112 nucleotides) under Staphylococcus saprophyticus. Its description in RNAcentral is "Glycine sequence". It matches the Rfam family "Glycine riboswitch aptamer". From Rfam's summary of the family: This family represents the bacterial glycine riboswitch. Glycine riboswitches usually consist of two metabolite-binding aptamers domains with similar structures in tandem. RNAcentral also lists the same sequence under 1 other name. The record is from RNAcentral. Lineage: Bacteria; Bacillati; Bacillota; Bacilli; Caryophanales; Staphylococcaceae.
AUGAUCAGUAUUAGAGAGAAUGGUAGUUAUACUUAAUAUAACUUAACUUUAGUCCAUCGCCGAAGGUGCAAGUUUUUACGAAACUCUCAGGCAAAAGGAUAAUACUGUAACG